GUUUGGAGAUGUUAAAUCAAUCUUGGAUUUUUAUAUCUAUUGUAUUUUGAGCAGCAGUUUUUAGUACAUUUUCACAUGGGAACUUUUAUACUUGAAAUAAUAUAACAACAAGGAAAAUAUCCUCUUUUAUCUGAACAUCUAGGACUUAACCCAUGUUGUUAAUUUAGUUUUUUUCCUUUCAGCAUCUGCUGUGUGCAACCAUAUACAAAUGAGGCUGCUUCAUACACAGCCCUUUAGAGAAGAUAUAUUGGGCUGGUCUUCAGGUUGGCCCUGUGAAUGAAUAUGGUGGUAGUAGCAUAGGGAUAAAGAGCAUGAAGCAGAGUCCAGCCAAAAUAUUUAUCUUUACUCAAGAGAGACUCCAGUCUGAUAGAAGGAAGAACUGCAUAGAUGAGGUUAAUGAGGGGAAAGCUGUGCCAUAUAGCUUUCUUAGUUGCCUUGCAAAUUAUCAGUGGACCUCACAGAGGCAAAGCAAAAGCCCAGUAUCAUUGGUUAUAAUUUCCCAGAUAGCUCUGGAAUAUAUAAAUGUAUACUUAUAGAUGUAUAUUUUUUAUAUCUGCUCAUUUUGCUUUGAGUGGCCUAAUGCCAAGUUUUCCUUGAUCUUGGUUAUGGCAGCCUUGGAAUCUCUUUACAGACCAGACUUGAAACCUAUGAUUUUUAGGCACUAAGUGUCAUCUUUUGUCAUGUUGCUUUCCUCACACACUCUGAACAGGUCAAACUUUUGACAAUUUUGUGCGCUUCGGCGCAAUGUUACUUCAAUGCCUUGAAGUUUCUCUUAAUUCCAUGAUGGACUUUGGCUUGUGUUUCUAAAUACAACUAAUAUUCUACCUUCUUGUUAAAGCCUUCCCAAAUCCAGUGGUUCCUUCCCCUGUGCUCUUACAUCACUUAUUUGUACUUCUGUUCCAGUAUGUGGCACGUACAAUUAUCACUGUAACUGUCUGUCAUCCCUCUGUCUGGAAAGCUGCUGGAGCAGGGCUUGUUUUUAUAUUCCUAACAUCUAGCAUGGACUUCGACUUACAAUAGGUGUUCAAUAAAUGUUUGAAUAACUGAAGAAAGUGAGUGAAUAAAAUAUACCACCUCAUGUUUGAAAUGUGCUCGAGUCCUUCCUACCUACCUUUUCUUUUGUGCUGCUUUUCUUUAUCUUUUUCCCUGCCACAUGUUCUUCUGUCCUACUUGGUAGAUUUUAGGGCUUAGGAAAUAUGUGUUUGAAGAUUUGAAAUAUAAUACUUUGAACUCCUUAGAGGAAAAGUCUAUGAAUAAAUAAUUAGACUCAUUUCACAUCAAAAUCUAAAGUGUGAAAAAAUGUUCGUAUCAUUUGGUGCUUUAUUCACUUGUAUGGUAAUCUAAUGGCAUAUCCAUUGUUAACUCUGCACUAUACUGAAAUAUUUUACUCUCGGGGCUUUUCAUCUGACAAAAGAAGGCUCUUUGAAAAUGAAAGAGCUCCUUUCCCUGGUAUGCUAAGCAUAGCUCCUGUCCCUGGUAUGCUAAGGGGAAAUUUAUUAGUUUUGUAAUGCAUGGGUUAAUAUUACCAUGUUUUAUAUUGAACAUUACUUUAAAAAUUACUAUUAAUAUCAUUGCUGCAUAUAUGUAUAUAAGUCCUGUCAUCUUUGGGAUAUGUAAAUCAGGAAUGUUGCUGAAGAACUACUUAGCAUUUUCUUGGGGGUGAAGUGCUUAGUUUUGGAAUUUAAUUGUAGGUUUUACAUUUAAGCUGUUCAGUAUUACUCUUAUAAAGGUUCUAUAAAUUUCUUGCUUUGUAGUUUAACAGGUUUAGUCACUACAGUUGAAAGGCAUCAUCCUCAUAAUGAAGCCAGAAAAGAAUAAAGGUUGAUCAUGCAGGGCUGGCUGGCUGUGACAUUGAACAAUAGAGCUUGACUUCUUCAUGUCUGUUAAAUUAGACUAUGGGGUGUGCUUAUCUUGCUGCAACGAUAUUGAAUUAUAACGAGAAAAUGUUAUGUUGUGCAGCUCUGCAAAGGGGGUGUGCAUCUAUUCUCACUUCAUGUGUAUGACAAAUGCUUCAAACUAUUGAAGCUGCCUAGUGGGCUUAAAGUCUAUUGAUGGCACAGGUCUGGGCAUAAUACUGAAACAAAAAUAAAUACAAUGCAAAAGCUUGAAAGUAUCAUGUAAAGUUUUAUAUAUUACAGUCUUUCUUAAAAGGACCUAUGUUAGCUCAGGAAGUGUGAUGAAAAAAUUCCAUUUUGUAGAGAUCUUUGAAGGAAAUGGGUAAUAGAGCCUCAUGGAAAAGUAAGAAGAUGCUAUGUUGCAUAGAAGCAAGUUCUGAGGGGGAGAACUGUGCUCCAAAAUAAUCAAAGAUUAUUGGAAGGGAGACAGGUGAGGUGUUGUCAGCAAAAGAGAAACAAGAGAAAUGGGUAGCAUCAAAUGUGUGUGUGUCUGUAUGUGUGUAAAUUGACAGAUGAUUCUAAUAUUUACACAGAAAUGCUAAGGAUCAAAAAAUAGUCAAGGUAAUAUUGAAGAAAAGGAAGAAAGUUGGAAGAAUUACAGAUAUCAAAGUUUAUGAUAAGGCUACAGUAAUUAAGUCAGUGUAAUAUUGGAAUAAGAGUCGAUGAAAGUCUAUUAAAGUAGUAUAGAAUCCUCAACCAGAUUUACACAUAUGUGGAAACUUGAUUUUGUAGCAUAAGUGGCACUGUGGAACAAUGGGAAUAGGUAAUAUUUUUAAUAAAACAUUCUGAUCCAUUGGAUAGCCUUUGUAGAUAAAAUAAAUCGUGAUCCUCUAACUCAUACCACAUAUAAGUAUCAAUUCCAU
RNAcentral lists this long non-coding RNA (2758 nucleotides) under Heterocephalus glaber (naked mole-rat). RNAcentral describes it as "lncRNA (ENSHGLG00100037331.1)". Lineage: Eukaryota; Metazoa; Chordata; Mammalia; Rodentia; Bathyergidae. The record is from RNAcentral.